GUAAAUAUCUAAUUUCAGUGAAAUAAAGACAAUGUAAUUUCUUCAUAAUUGCAAUGAAAUAAAGAAAAAUUAGUCUAUUGACCAAUGGUAGAUUUUGGUAUUUUUGUUUUGGCCAUUCAUGGAAGUUUACAACGAUCAUAACGUUUUAAAUCGUACUUGUAUUUUUUGUAGAUUUAUGAGAAAAGGUAAGUACAAUAAAGAGUAAUUGCAGGGAAGAAGAGGGAUAUUAAUGAUUGGAGAAGGAGAACCGCGUAUCAGGCUGGGCUAUGUCGGUUUCUCAUGACACGGUCUUGUUGUAUCACACCGAUUAUAUAUUAUCGUUUUACAGCAAUGUUUAUAUCAUGCCUACAAAAUAUAGGGAUUCAAAUUGCUUAACCACGUUGUAUUCUUCUUCUUCUUCUUGUCCAACUUUUUCUACGAAAUUAUAGCAAAUCAAAUUCAUGCUAUUUAUUGAACGCAAAUGUUUAAUUUUCAGACAAAUCAGAUUCUUACUUUUGCUGUUCAAACCCCAAAAUUCAAUGAAGAAAUUUUAUAAUAUUCAUCAGAUACUGAGCGGAUUUUAAGCAAAAAACCAAGAGAAGUGAUAGAUACUGAGCGAGUUUGAUAUGAAGAUUAUCUUGGCCGGAGGUUGAUUAUCGUCUUUCCAACGAAGCAACUGCAACACCAUUAUAUGGAUAUUUGGUGUCUCGUCAUCAGAGUCGUGCCAAUGAAUUUUGAUGCUAUAAACAAAA
Molecule: small RNA, 731 nt
Filed under: Arabidopsis thaliana (thale cress)
Lineage: Eukaryota; Viridiplantae; Streptophyta; Magnoliopsida; Brassicales; Brassicaceae
Description: ATSL000910
Source: RNAcentral